Molecule: long non-coding RNA, 269 nt
Organism: Mirounga angustirostris (Northern elephant seal)
Lineage: Eukaryota; Metazoa; Chordata; Mammalia; Carnivora; Phocidae
Exons: 2
Source: RefSeq, a predicted model, not a curated record
CCCCUGCCCGAGAACUUCGGCUCCUUCCGCCACCGCUUCGGGAAGGCCUCACUCACGGGGACAGCUUCGGUUUUUUCCGUCGGCGCUUCGGCUCCUUCCGGCUUCGGGAACCGAAAAGGGAGGGAGGACAGAGACGAGCUCCGGCUCCCGGCCUGACCGCCCGCUCCGUGGAGCUCGCCGGUGCCCCUUCGCUGUCUCCGCGGCAACGGACGCCCCCUCCAAGAAGAGGCCGGGCCUAGUUUAUCCCAAAUUUUAUCGUCUGUCUUUAA